GGGCCGUUAGCUCAAUUGGUAGAGCAGUGGACUCUUAAUCCAUCGGUUGUAGGUUCGAGUCCUACACGGCCCACCA
RNAcentral lists this transfer RNA (76 nucleotides) under Gammaproteobacteria bacterium. RNAcentral describes it as "tRNA-Lys". It matches the Rfam family "tRNA". From Rfam's summary of the family: Transfer RNA (tRNA) molecules are approximately 80 nucleotides in length. Their secondary structure includes four short double-helical elements and three loops (D, anti-codon, and T loops). Further hydrogen bonds mediate the characteristic L-shaped molecular structure. tRNAs have two regions of fundamental functional importance: the anti-codon, which is responsible for specific mRNA codon recognition, and the 3' end, to which the tRNAs corresponding amino acid is attached (by aminoacyl-tRNA synthetases). tRNAs cope with the degeneracy of the genetic code in two manners: having more than one tRNA (with a specific anti-codon) for a particular amino acid; and 'wobble' base-pairing, i.e. permitting non-standard base-pairing at the 3rd anti-codon position. The record is from RNAcentral. Lineage: Bacteria; Pseudomonadati; Pseudomonadota; Gammaproteobacteria.